This 253-nucleotide ribosomal RNA is filed under the name uncultured bacterium. RNAcentral's name for it is "partial 16S ribosomal RNA". It matches the Rfam family "Bacterial small subunit ribosomal RNA", at positions 524 to 776 of the family's 1533-position model. The record is from RNAcentral. RNAcentral also lists the same sequence under 1 other name.
UACGUAGGGACCAAGCGUUGUUCGGAUUUACUGGGCGUAAAGGGUGCGUAGGCGGCGCGUCAAGUCAGUUGUGAAAUCUUAAGGCUUAACCUUAAGCGGUCAACUGAUACUGUCGUGCUAGAGUGCAGAAGGGGCAAUCGGAAUUCUUGGUGUAGCGGUGAAAUGCGUAGAUAUCAAGAGGAACACCUGAGGUGAAGACGGGUUGCUGGGCUGACACUGACGCUGAGGCACGAAAGCUAGGGUAGCAAACGGG